Molecule: transfer RNA, 87 nt
Filed under: Candidatus Bathyarchaeota archaeon
Lineage: Archaea; Thermoproteati; Candidatus Bathyarchaeota
Description: tRNA-OTHER
Source: RNAcentral
GUCGGAGCGAUUAAUGCCUUGGCAAAACGCGGGUGUGCUAUCCCGUGGCGUAGGCCUUCGUGGGUUCGAAUCCCACCCCCCGCACCA